RNAcentral lists this long non-coding RNA (4740 nucleotides) under Sus scrofa (pig). RNAcentral's name for it is "lncRNA (ENSSSCG00040050118.1)". The record is from RNAcentral. Lineage: Eukaryota; Metazoa; Chordata; Mammalia; Artiodactyla; Suidae.
UUGUAUCUGUAACUUGAAUAAACCCAAAAGCUACAAAUAUAUCAUAACCAACAUUCUAAAAUUGAUGUCAAGUUCCAAAAAAAAAAAACUUCUGAACUAUCUUCCUUAUAAAAUUUUUUAAAUUUUGCUAUGAAGUAAGAAGUGUGGUUUAAAAAUGCAGUCAGCUAAUAUAUUAUAGUUGUCCCUACUCAAUGAGGGGAAACUGAAUAAAGAAUUAAAAAAUAGAAAAUAAUUUGUGAGGUAUAUGAUUCCACAUUAUAAAAGAUUCUAUUUCAUGUGGACUAUAAAUAAAAAGCAGAGAAAGGAAAAUCUAGACCCAAAUAUUUUUAGAAGUUAGAUUUUUCAAUUCAAACAACAGUAGUUAGAGUUCUCUGAUAGCUCUUAUUUUAAAUUAUGAGAGGCCAGUGAACUUCUGAAAACUAAAGCAUAAAGUUUUAAGCACACAGUUUAUAACCAUUUUUUGGACAGAACUUCUAAACUUUAUUUAACCUUGGGAGACAGAUAUAUAAAUAUAUAGAUAUACAGACAUAUAGUUAUAGACAUGGAGAGACACAGAUUGUGUGUGUGUUGCAUCUGGUAACCUUUUUAACUUCAUAUAGCAAGUCACUGAUUUGAUCUUUCCUUCUUACCUGCCAUGAAGAUGAAAGCUGCCUAACCUGUAGAAGGCAAGCACAGCUGAUCUGAUGCAAAGUUAACCACCAAAUCAACAGGAGAAGCCAAAUUCUGACAAUUCCUAACUUCAAAAAAAUUUUCUCUUCCUUUCAGUGCCCAUGACUCUUUUACAUGAAAUCCAUGAUCAACUUUGUAUCAUUUAUACAGUAAACAAUCUCAAAUUCCUUGCCAGAUUUAAUUCACUGUUCUGUCACUCAACAGUAACAAUGAGUUGAGAACCCACUAAGAUCCACAGACUGUACUCGGCUUUUUACAAACAUUAUUCCCCACCAUACACCUGCAAGGUAGUUGCAUCCCCAUUUUACAGAUAAGAAAACUAAGUGUCAGAAGGGUUAAAUCACAUGACCAAGACCAAAUUACUAAAAGGUGGAGCCAGAUUCUAAUCUAGGUGCAUUAGGCCAAUUUAAGGGCUGUUUGAUAUUCCCACCAUUCUAUACACUCUUUAUACUAACCUUGUUCAUGGGUUAAAAAAUUAUCUCCUGCUAUCUGUUUUUUCCAGAAAUUUGUAUUUGGGAUUGAGGAAUAAAAUACAUUUCCAGGAGUCAUUUUUACAAAUACCAAAAUACAAUUUUCUCAAAUUCUUCUUGGCUUAACUUUUAAUAUUUAAAAUAUGCAUAUUAAAAGUUACAUUAAUGAUUAAGACUUAAAGGUUUGCACUGAUCACUGCAGUUUCCUACAGCAUUGAAGAUUCUAAACAGAGCAAAGAUCCGAAAGUUGGAGUAUUAUAUUGGUAAAAAAAUUGCCAAACGUUAUCUCCGUUUACUAAGUAUAAACACACCAAUUUUCUAAGAAAAUACGACGUGAAGCUCGGAACUGCUUAGUUCUAUUAUAAUCCUUCAUUCUAAAUACUAGAACCAAUCAGAAAAUAUAUCCAUAUAUUUUCUUCACAACCAGAGAAUAGUAUUUUACAAUCUGUCUGAUAUUAUUUCACUCUUGAAAUGUUUUUUCACUGGGAAUCGAAUUCUAACCUGGCAAUUUUUCACCAGCACACUGAGAUACCUUCCCACUGUUUUCUGACUUCAAUUUCUGUUCCUGAGCUGUCAGUGUAACUGCCAGGCUAUUUUAAAGGUAAUCUGUCUUUUGUUCGCUGCCAACUUUUUAAGAUGUCCUCUUUGUUGCUGGCUCUCUCUGUACCACUAUGAUGUGUCUAGAUGUUUAUUUCCUUUUAGCUAUUCUGCUUGUAUGUCUCUGAACUUACUCAAUUUGUGGACUGGAAUUUUUCAUUAGUUCUGGAAAAUCCUUAGCUAUUAUAUCUUCAAACAUUGCCUCUCCCAUCAUUUCCCUCUUCUACAAUUAGAAAACUAAAUACUGUUAGACCUUCUCAUUCUGUGUUCUAUACAUCUUAAUCCCUUUCUUUUUACCCAUUUCCUUGUCUUUCUGUGCUACAUUCUGAGUAAUUUCUAUGUUCAGUUCAUUAAUUUCAUUAAUUGUCUUUAGUUGUAUUUAAUCUACUAUUAAGUAUACCUACUGAAUUUUUGUUAUAAUUUGUAUUUUUUAUUUCUAGAAGUCUUGUUCAAGUCUUUUUCAAAUCUACUAAAUGUCUCAUCCCCUGCAGGUAGUCCAUCUUUUUGUAAACAUAAUAAACAGCUGCUUAAUAAUUGCUGUCUGGUAAUUCCAAAAUCUGAAGUUUCUGAGGGUCUACUUCUGUUAACUCUUGCUACUGCUUCUCAUUCAUGGGGAUUUGUUUCCAUGAGCGGUUCAUUAUAUUCUAUUGUGAUCUAUUUCUUGGGAAAAGGAUUUGGGGGAAUUCCCUAGGACGAAAGGUAAAAUGUAUUCUACCUGAGAGGACUUUCAUUUGCUUCUCCCAGUAAUCUAGAACCACUUAAAAUUCACAAUUUAAGAUAAGGUUUGUAGCACCCAGGUGACACUGAAUAUGGGCUGCAAAUCAACAAGAGGAAUAGGGAUCUUUUUCAGGCCCAAGAAAACAAUUCUUGCAGCCUCCUGUGAGCAAGAGCACGUGAAGGAUUUUAAUCUUGGUUUAAACAUAUUCUAUAGACCUAGCUCUUUGAAGUCUCAGUUUUUUUAAGUAAGGAAUUUCCUAUUAGACUCCUCCUUGGAGUUCUCCUUAAAGUCCUCCUUAAUUUCUAUACCUUGUGAGCCCUUCAAGACCAAAGUAAAAGUUCCCUAGAAUAUGGCAAAUAUCCUCAAAGGAAACGCAGUUUUAAUAUUCUGCUUACUUUCCUGAAUUCCUACUUUCAUGUAGAUUUUGGCCUGUUGAUGUCUUAUUGUCAUGUUAGCUCUUAAGAGGUGAAAAAAAAUUUUUUUCUAGUAUUUCUUUUCAAGGAGUUACCCUGUCCAUAUAACCUAGUUGACUAUAUUAUCCUAUUUUCAAUUUUAAAAGGUUGCUUAUUUUUAUACUUCAAUCACUAAAAGUUUCAUUUUGUGGGGGAGUGUAACACUGACAGUAAGAAACAAUUUGUUUUUAUUCACCUUGAUUUUCUGGAACUGUUUACAACAAAAAUUUUCCAAACCCCAAAACAUAUCAAUUCCUUUAUAUCCUAAAACAAUUAGAGAUGGACAAGAUUCUGAAAUUAAUGCCCAAAACAGACGUCUUUUUAACUAAGGAAUUUAUUAGUCUACGAAUUUUUCCCUACUAGAAACAGGCAUAAUAUACAAAAAUUCUAUAUCUGACAAACUCCUAGAAGAUGACCAGAAUUUUAAGAAGAUAACAAAUAAGGGAGAACUAAAUUCAACUUUGUUUCUGCCAGAGUUCCCUUCGUGGCUCGGCAGUUAAAGAACCUAACUAGGAUCCAUGAGAAUGCAGGUUCAAUCCCUGGCCUUGCUCAGUGGGCUAAGGAUCUGCUGUUGCUGUGAGCUGUGGUGUAGGUCACAGACAUGGCUCUGAUCUGGUGUUGCUGUGGCUGUGGCAUAGGCCGACAGCUGUGGCUCCUAUUUGACCUCUAGCCUAGGAACUUCCAUAUACUGCAGGUUCAGCCCUAAAAAAAGCAAAAAAAAAACCCAAAAAAAAACCAAAAAAAAUUGUUUUUGCCAAGAAAGAAAAUCAUAAAGAAAAAGACUAAUAUAUGGAACUACAUAAAAAUGUAAUAAUUCUUCAUAUGAAUUUUUAAAAGCAUAAGCAAAAUUGAAAGACAAAAUUGAGGAUACUUACAAUAUAUGUAAUAGGGUCAAAAUCUAUAACAUACAAAAAGCUCUUCAAAAUCAUUAAGAAAAUAAACACCUCCCAAAAUGGACAAAGGACAUAAAUAGGCACUAAAGAAGUAAUAAAAGCAACCUAUCAACUUUUACCAUUAGGUUAACAAAAACCAAUGAUUUACAAUUCCUUCUGAUAGCAAGGUUACAGGCAAAUGUAAUUUAUACCCUGAAUUAAAAGUUGGGGUACAAAUUAAUAUUAUCUAUUAGGCAAGUUGGCAAUAGGUAUCAAAAAUCUAAAUUAUACAUACCCUUAAAUACAAUAAUCUCACUACUAGACAUAUAUUUAGGAAUAUAACAUCAAUGCAUGAGGACUUAUGAAAUACAAAAGUUAAAAAUAAAACACAAAACUAGUUAAAAAGGAGUUCUAGGCACACUUAAAACUUAAAAACUAAGAAACCAUACAAGUAAAAACAAAGAAAUAUAAUUAUUGUUUAAGAAUAGUAAUCAGUUACUUUUUAAAAUUCCACUUUAUAUUGUACUUUUUAAAAACUGAUCAUAUUAUUAUCAUGAUUCUUUGGAGACUGAAAGCCUAGACAAACUCAUCCAAUAAUUUCUAUAGUUUUUUGUUUGUUUGUUAGGUCUGUGUAGUGGAUUAAACAUGGUCACACAUUUCUGUCACUUUCUCCACCAGAAGAGUGAGUUUAAUUCUCUUCCCAUUGAAUGUGGAGUGACUGUCUAUUUAACAAAAAAAAUACAGCAGAAGUAACACUCAUCAAUUUUUAGCCUAAUCCUUAAGAGCACUGCCUGCUUCCACUUCCUACCUCUUAGAAUGUUUGUUCUUAGGACACUCAUUCUCAGAGUCCAUCAGUCAUACCCAGACUACAUGGAGAGGCCUCACAUCGAGUUCCCAUGACAGCAGGUAGCAUUAAAUGCCAACCAUGUUGAGUGAGCCAUCUUAGAAGUGGAAAGAAACUA